CUCGCUGCUAAGCUAUCGCCGCUGCCAACCUAUCUAUUGCUGCAAGCUAUCCCUCGCUGCUAAGCUAUCCCUCGCUGCCAACCUAUCUAUUGCUGCAAGCUAUCCCUCGCUGCUAAGCUAUCCCUCGCUGCUAAGCUAUCGCCGCUGCCAACCUAUCUAUUGCUGCAAGCUAUCCCUCGCUGCUAAGCUAUCCCUCGCUGCUAAGCUAUCCCUCGCUGCUAAGCUAUCUAUCACUGCUAAUCUAUCGCUGCCAACCUAUCUAUCGCUGCCAAUUUAUCUACCACUGCCAAUCUAUCUAUCACUGCUAAUCUAUUGCUGCUAAUCUAUCACUGCUAAUCUAUCGCUGCCAAUCUAUCGCUGCCAAUCUAUUGCUGCCAAUCUAUUGCUGCCAAUCUAUCGCUGCCAACCUAUCUACUGCAGUGAAUCUAUCUAUCACUAUCAUUACUAGUUCAAAAUAGAACUAGAGCAUAAAUACACUAAACUUCUUUUGAUAGAUAAUGAUUUUUGAUAACACUCAUAGCAUUAUAUCAUCUAUAUAGGGUAAAUCAUGGUCCCAUUUGGUCCCAU
Molecule: small RNA, 567 nt
Filed under: Histoplasma ohiense
Lineage: Eukaryota; Fungi; Ascomycota; Eurotiomycetes; Onygenales; Ajellomycetaceae
Description: hypothetical lncRNA
Source: RNAcentral